This 1414-nucleotide long non-coding RNA is filed under the name Homo sapiens (human). RNAcentral describes it as "non-protein coding lnc-ETV6-3:1". The record is from RNAcentral. Lineage: Eukaryota; Metazoa; Chordata; Mammalia; Primates; Hominidae.
UUUAAGAGUUUAAGCAACAAGGUGGGAACAUCACUGUGGCCAUUCCAGGCCACUUGAAGACAGGUUCUGAAGGAAGGCAGAAGGCUUGUAUCUGGCCAGCUGUGUGUGAUCCCUGCAUAUCCUGGUGUUGGAUGAGGCAGACAGACUUCUGGACAUGGGAUUUGAGGCAAGCAUAAAUACCAUCCUGGAGUUUUUGCCAAAGCAGAGGAGAACAGGCCUUUUCUCUGCCACUCAGAAGCAGGAAGUGGAGAACUUGGGGAGAGUGGGAUGCCGGAACCCUGUCCAGUCUCAGUGAAGAAGGGUGUGGCAGCCAGCAGUGCCCAGAACACCACUCUCCCCUGGAAAACUACUACAUGGUAUGCAAGGCAGAUGAGAAAUUUAAUCAGCUGCUACAUUUUCUUCGCAGUCAUAAGCAAGAGCAACACCUGGUCUUCUUUAGCACUUGCACCUGUGUGGAAUACUACAGGAAGGCUCUGGAGGUGCUGAUGAAGAGUGUGAAGAUUGUGUGCAUCCAUGGAAAGAUGAAAUACGAUCUUCAUGCAAAUUGAAAAUUGCAAUUGUUCUGCAAAUUGCAAAGUGGAAUUUUAGUGUGCACUGAUGUGGUGGCCCAGGAAUCAAUGUUCCUGAAGUAAACUGGGUUUUGCAGUACAAUCGCCCCUACAAUGCAAGUGCCUUUGUGCAGCACUGUAGCCGCACAGCCCUCAUUGGCCACAGAGGCAGAGCUCUGGUGUUCCUCCUGCCCGUGGAAGAGUCAUACAUCAAUUUCCUUGCAAUUAACCAAAAAUGCCCCCUGGCGGAGAUGAAACUCUAGAAAAACACAGCUGACCUUCUGCCAAAACUCAAGUCCAUGACCCUGGCAGAAAAAUCUGUGUUUGAAAAGGGCAUGAAAGCUUUUGUGUCCUAUGUCCAGGCUUAUGCAAAGUAAGAAUGCAACCUGAUUUUCAGAUUAAAUAAUCUUGAUUUUGCAAGUCUUGCUCGAGGUUUUUCCCUGCUGAGAAUGCCCAAGAUGCCAGAAUUGAGAGGAAAGCAGUUUCCAGAUUUUGUGCCUGUGGACAUUAAUACAGACACUAUUUCAUUUAAAGAUAAAAUUAGAGAAAAGCAGAGGCAGAAAUUACUGGAGCAACAAAGGAAAGAGAAAAACAGAAAAUGAAGGGAGAAGAAAAUUCAUAAAAAAUAAAGAUUGGUCGAAGCAGAAGGCCAAAAAAGAGAAGAAGAAAAACAUGAAUGAGAUAAGGAAAAGGGAAGCAUGUUCUGAUACAAAGAUGAGGACAUGGAAGAACUUCUCAAUGAUUCAGAGCUCUUGAAAAAAAUUUUUAAAGGCAAAAUUACUGAAGAAUUUGAGAAGGACUUAUUGACAAGUGGCAAAAGAACAAUCAAGACAGCCAAUUUAAUGUCUCAGAUUUGGAAGAUGACU